CGCCUCUCUUGGAUCUGAGACAUGCUUAUAGGUGAUAUAGUGAGUGUGGCUGGGAAUGACUGAGCUCUAGGACAUGUGGGUAUAUUUACAUACAUACAUAUAUAUUAUUAUAUUUAUAGAUACUACUUUAACAUUAUAAAACAUUGGCAGGUUAAAGGGCCAUUACUAAAUGUGAGUAAAAAUAAUAUAAUAAUAUAAUAUGUAUGAAUGAGUGAGUGAUAACUACCUUACCUUUUUGUGUCAUUUUACCCCACUCCCUCUAGCAUGUAAGCUCAUUGAGCAGGGCCCUCAACCCCUCUGUUCCUGUGUGUCCAACUUGUCUGGUUACAACUACAUGUCUGUUCGUCCACCCACUGUAACGCGCUGCGGAAUUUGACGGCGCUCUAUAAAUAUCAUAAUAAUAAUAAUAACUAACCCUGGUACUGCAUGUGUUCACUGAGAUUCACAGGAAAUGUAGUCCACAAACAGCUGCAGUGUGUAAAGUAGCUCCCUUUUGUAAAUGUGGAUAAAUACAUGUUUACCCUAUGUGUACAUGCAGUGAUUUUACAUCUGGGACAUUAUGUAUCAUCCUGUUUGUGUUAUAAUUCGAUAGACAUGGGGAGCAUGUUCACAGCUUUAUUUGUGCUGAACUGAAUAAAAAUCAGGUUGCAAAAUGUUAGGUUAAAAUAGCCAAGCUGUGACUGAGAAACGUAUGUCUGCUAUGCUUCCAGUUCAGCUACUUUAGUCUUACAUUUGAAGUUCUUGUUCAAUUCACCUUGAAUAUCCAACCAAUUUAAAUUUUUGUAAAUUACUCUGAUUGUGUGGCAAACAGCAUCUCCCGUCUGUAUCACUUUAAAAAGGUAUUGUCGGCAGACAAAGCUGGACUUAGACACAGGAUUCUUAGGGACCACUACUCCUCCUCUACAUAUCCAUGAACGUCUUGCUGCCUCUGUGAAUGGGAGGCGCGCAUGAAAGUAAGGAUGCACAUCGCUCACUUCUCUCUUCUGCUAAUAGAACAAUGCAGUUACCAUGUAGUAAAAUAUGCCAGGGCGUGACGAGUUUGCUCAGAAUCUAGGAGCCAGCAAAAAAAGUUAUGAGCCAGGUUUUUGUAUUUCAAAAAUACAAAUAUUAAAGGGAAAAGGCAGUAUUUACAUUAUUGACUAGUUACACUUCUAGUGAUAGUCACUCAGACGCCCUCUAGAGGUGCAUCCUGGAUCAGUGCUGCACAGCACCUAUGUUUAAUGUCUCCACGCUCUGCAUGGAGUUGUUGAACGUUCCCCAUAGAGAUGCAUUGAUUCAAUACAUCUCUAUGAGGAGAUGCUGAUUGGCGCAGCACAGUCUUUUGCCACACAUGCGCAAUAGUCUCCUAGUGCUUUCCUAGGGGAAAGCAUUGGAUUGGCUGAGAUCAUCAAGAUUGAAGAUUGCAAUCAUGGAGGCAGGGCCAGCUGCGGCGAGACCAGCUCAGCGUCAGGGCGGGUGGGGGGGGAAGGGAAGUAAAAACCGCUUUCCCAUGUGAUUGAAUGAAGACCAGUCACCUAAACACACACACAUACACACACGCACCUGACAGACAGACAAACGCACACACACUCACUGACUCUUUCUCAGCUGGCCGACCACACACAUGCCCACUCUCUCAGCUGGCCGACCACACGCUAUUGCUCUUCUUGAGCUCAUAAAGAGCAUGGGCGUGCGAGUAGUCGCCCGCCCGCCCGCCGGCCUCCACUUAUAGGCAGCUGACCACCUCGAAGGCUGAAUGGGACAACAAAUCCUAGUCACCAUGGCGACCUGGCGCCUGUGAUUUGUCGAGCCCUGAAAUAUGCACAUUCUUACUCUUGGCAGACAACACUAGAAGAGCGGCUUCUGCUUGCAACUACUGACUCUGGAAAUGGCAAUUUGUAUUAUUAUUUAUUUUGAUUGUGUUAAAUAAUCAACAAAAUAUAUUGGUUAUUCAAAUAUUUCAAACUUACACCCCUACUAUAACAGUAUGUCUGUUAACCAGAAAAUAAAUAUCUCUUCACUGCUGAUGAUCCUGAUGGGUAUUUAAUCUAAUUUAACAGGUUUUUGCUUCUUUUUCAGGCUCAGUCAGUCUCAUUUGUGGGCAGAAUAUGUGGACCAUAUUAAGGAGCAGGCUGUUACUCAGUGGACAUUUUUCAUCAUGUGACGUGUGCCGGGCCAUGUCAAACCAUGCUUCUAUGCAGAGCAUAGCCAAGCUGCAGGAGAGAAAAAUAAACAAACUGAUCUUUCCAAUUACAGAUUUGGAGAAGUUUCUAGGCCCCGGUGUUGAUAGAACUUAUUUUAGACUUUUCAAUCCUAGCAUUGAGCAGAUUGUUAAAGCUGAGGAAUUAUUUAGGUCGUCAGGCAAGCAUGUGAUCGAUUAUUACACUUCGGCUGUCAGAAUGGAUCAUACGCCCUCACUCACGCAGCCAGAGGUUGGUGGAAGCCAGUAAAUACUCCUAUAUCCUACAAUGCUUAGCAUGAGUUCCAUGUAUAGAGAAUGAGGGCGGCUCUUGCCAUCCCACAAUGCUUAGCAUGAGUCCAUGUAGAGUGUAUCAGGACUGUUGCUCCCAUCAUCCCACAAUGCUUAGCAUCAGUCCAUGUAGAGUGUAUGGGGGCUGUUGCUCCCAUCAUCCCACAAUGUUUAGUGUGUGUCAAUGCACAAUGUACAGGGGCUGUUACUUUUAAUACCCGCCGUGGGCUUUCUAUCCAUUACAGUAUUUUCUUAUAUUUUAGGUAUGUUUCAUAGGAAGAAGUAAUGUGGGCAAAUCAACGUUGAUAAAAGCCUUGUUUUCGCUGGUGCCUGGACUUGAAGUUAGAGUGUCAAAAAAUCCUGUGAGUAACAUUAUGCACAAAGCUUCGGAACACGUUGUAUGUAGUAAUUAUACAUUACAUAGUUUGACUAAUCUUACUGAUUUUGUAGCAAAAGAAUAAUUGCAAGCAUGUUUUUGCAUGGACUUCUCACAAUUGAAUACAGUUUGAUGAAAACCAGAGGGAUACUUCAGUGAAGUACUUGCACCAUAAUCACUUCAAUUAAUUAUAUUGUUUAAGGUUCUUGGAGCAUCUCUUAAUGGUCUAAUUCAACUUUUCAUACUCUGCCUUAUGUCUUCUUAUGUAGUUUUUAUGCAAAUUAUUAGCUCAACCCUAUCAGCUGAUAACCGUAAUAUAUAUAUAUAUUUUUUUUUUACAGGGUCACACAAAGAAACUGAACUUUUUUAAAGCAGGGAAAGCGUUUACUUUGGUGGAUAUGCCAGGCUAUGGUUAUCAUGCACCUGAAGAUUUUACUGAUAUGGUAGAGGAAUAUCUUCAGAAGAGACAAAAGUAAGUGUAACCACAUAGGAAAGAACCAGAUAGGGCCUAUUUAGUUUGGUGGCUAUUCAUUAAUCAGUGGAAGUGGAGGGGUGUGUUGACAGAUGAGUUGCAAAUAUUUUCCUCUUUCUGUAUUUUUUUUGCUUAAACUUUGCAAAACAGUUGUCAACUGGCGAUUUAAUGAAUAAACCUUCUAUGUUUGAAAGGCUCUCCUAUAUCCACCACCUAUUUUGUAAAAAAAAAAACACAUAUAUUUAUAUAUAUUAUGCGUGCAUGUUCAGGUGAGUGUACAGCCCCCUUGGUUUUAUAUAUAUAUAUAUAUAUAAUAUUAUUAUUAUUUAUUAUAUAUAUAUAUUAUUAUUAUUUAUUAUAUAUAUUUUUUUAAUUAUUAUUUAUUUAUUUAUUUAUUUAUUUUGAGUUUUUAUUAAGUUAUAUAUAGGGAGGGUGCAAAAAGGAAAAAUAAUGAUGGUGGCCAUGGAGGAAAUAACAAGGAAGUGGCCUCACCGUGCAGUUAAGUUGCAACAAUUUUGUAUAUCACAAUUCCGAAUUCGAUCGUGAUUGUUACGGUAACAUCUCAGCAUUGUAGGAAGGGUAGUGACAAAGGUCUGACUCAUACCAUCACCAUAGGUCCUUGGACAAGAUAAUCAAAUCAACUCACAUUGGGAAAACGCCAUCUUGAUCAAGUAGAGUAGUACGCCGUAUCAUAGAGUCAAGGCCAGUCAAGCCUUGCCCGAUCUACAUGUGCCCCACUUGCCCCAAGCCUCCUGGAACACUUUGUUGGGGUAUAUAUGACUGUGUCCAAUGGACUGGAGCACUGAUUCAGUUGGGUGUGCAGUGGCGAUUUCCACUGGGCUGUUAGUAUAAUAUUUGACGGUAUUUUCUGUUGGGCUUUUGUCAGCUUGUCUAGAUUUAGGAGUAGUAAGUAAGUUUGUGAGGUGAAGGGUACAUGUGAUCUUAUUGUUUGCCUUAAGACAGAGUGUAUUUGCCCAAAAAGGUUGUAUAACAGGGCACGACUACCAGAUAUAUUUAAUUUCCUAAUCCUCUAUGACAUCUCCAGCACUUUUUUGACGAAGAGGGGAAUAUUUUUUUAUUAUCUAGUUGGUAUCAUGUACUAUCUAUAGAGAUUUUUUUUUUCUAUAUUGUUCGAUGUGGAGAGGGUAAAUACUUUGUGUAAGGUAGAAAUCUGGUGCCAUUGGUCAGGUGAAAUUGGGCUGUUAAAAUCCACUGCCCACAGUUUUGAAAUGUUGGAGUCUGGGUUUGUAGUAGCCGGUAGCACAUGAAGAUCGGUUUAGUAGUAGGAGACUAUACUGUAGUCUUUUAAGGUCGCCAUUACUUGUGGUAAGAAGCUAUCGGGUCUGUAAUUGAAAUGAGGACAUCAGCAGCAAAGGGUCAACUUUGUUUCUUGCGGCCCCAUAUUCACUCCCUGAUUGUCUAUUUUACUUUGCAAUAGAGGUUCUAAUGCCAGUACAUAUAAAAGCAGUGACAAAGAGCACUCCUGUCUUGUUCUGUUUGUUAUCGAAAACAAAGAUAAGAAUCCCUCCUGCAGAAUAAAAGCUUGUAGCUUGGUGGAAAAGAGAGGCGUCACAUAUAAGGGAGGGAAACCAAAUUUAUAUAAGGCCUCCUCAAGGAACUGUAAGUUAAGGCAGUUGAAUGAUUUAUCUGUGUCCAACACCAGAAGUCUGCCCAACGGAGAAGAUUCCUAAUGUUAUCCAUGGCUUUGUAUCCCUAACGAAUCUGUUUGAUAAUUGGAUUUGGUAAUAUUGGUCCAAUUCUGUUGGCUAAUAACUUGGCAACUAUCUUGACAUCUGUGUUUGAGUUAUAUAGGAUGAACAUUUUUGUCCGGUUUAUCUGAUUUUGGUAGCAUGACUAUGGUAGCUUUCAACAUGUUUGGAGGCAGUUCGCCUGUUGACGAGUCUGUUUGGAAGACAUGAAGGAGGUAAGGAGUUAGGAGGUGAGCAUAUCUCUUAUAAUAACUGUUAGGAAAGCCGUCUGGACCUGGUGAUUUACCAGUAGGUAGGGUCCUUAUUACCGUUUUUUCUCUAGAGUGGGUGGGCCAGUUAAAGCUUCUCUGUGGUCAUGCGAAAGGUGUGGGAGAGGCACACAGGAUAAAUAUUACUGUAUAUCUGAGAGGGGUAUGUGUGUGUGUAUUUUGACUAUUCACAACAUGAAAUAAAAUGUAUAUCGGGCAGCUUGAACUGAGCAUUUCACCUGUCUGGUUGACAGCUCUGGGAUUAAAGGCCUAAAUCAUAUGAAAACAAUAAUGCAAAUAAAUUAAUAUUCUUUAUAUCUAAAUCAAAAAAAUGAAAUUUAUAUAUUAUAGUGACCUAUUUUUUAUAACUAGAUUUUAUGUAAUGCUAUAAGAAAAAUAAGCAGAUGUUGCAUUGUGUGUUUGUGAUUGCAUCUGUAUCGAAUAGACUUAAACUUAAUUUGACUAUUUUUAUUUAAAACAGUUUAAAAAGGAUAUUUCUGCUUGUGGAUGGGUCCAUUGGUCUUCAAAAAUCUGAUUUAAUAGCCAUUGAAAUGUGUGAAGAAUUUGCAAAACCUUAUGUUGUAAGUAAGACCUUUUUUUUCAUUAUUUAUUAUUUUCUUUAAUUUCAAGCUUAAUUACAGUAUUAUUGAUCUGGGUGGAGAAGCCAGUAGUAAAUAUUCUGUUUGGUGUGUUGUCAUUAUAUAUAUAUUCUUACUGUACUUGCAUACAUACUAACAGUUCCAUAUUUGGCAAGACCGUCACAAUUCUCUGUUGCAUGUGCUGUGUCUAGAAUACACUUUUGAAGAAGGCCAUUGUAGAAUGGAUUAGAUGGACCUAUAGGUGCAUUCUGGUGGUUGUUUAACUCUCAUAGCAGCUAGAAAUACACUUUAAUCUAAGCACCAUCAUCACUUUAUCUCAUUCAAGAGCAGUGGGGGAAUAUGGAAAGCAGUUAACAUUGAACUUAAUCACCACAUAGUUUUAACCCCCUUAAGGACCAAACUUCUGGAAUAAAAGUGAAUCAUGACAUGUCACACGUCAUGUGUCCUUAAGGGGUUAAAGGAUUCCCAGAAUGGUCACUUAUUGACUUUAGAGUUUGGCUCAGGAGAGAACAUAUGACAUGUCUGAUCAAUGGGCUGCUUUUGGAUGACCUUUCUAGGGUCCAAGUUGCCCCUGUGAGCUUAGCUGGUCAACCAGGCAUUAGUAAACGAACAAAUGUGAAAUAUGUUAACCCCAAAUGCUAAUGUUCAUUUUGUUACCAGAGUAUUCUCUCCUCUGAUGUUCUGCCAGGAUUUAGUGAAUAAGCUCCAUUUGUAUUUGAGAGAGCAUUCAGACAAUCUGCUUUUGAACUUACGUUAGUUUCUUUUCUUAGGUUGUGAUAACAAAAAUAGACAGACCCCCUACGGGAAUUUUAUUGACGCGCUUUCUAGAGGUUCAAGAAUUUAUUGUGAAUAAAACAAACGGAUGUUUUCCCCAACCCUUCCUAAUCAGGUAAAAAAAUGCCAAGCCUCAUUCGUGAAAUGCACAGUCUUGUUUACUGCUUUGCAGUUAGUUGCCAUUUGUUAACCUUUUUUUUUAAUAUAAUCCAGGUAGUUAAAACUAUAUAAAUUAGUUUGGGGACUUGUUUAUUCAAAAUGAACCAAUAAGGAUCGAACAGUCACUCACUGCUUUUCAUAGUAAAACACCCUCAUUUUUAAAUGCAGAUUGAUUCAGAGGUAAGUAGAUCUCUACUGCCACUUACAUGUAAAAGUGACAUUGACCAACAUUAGCGGUAAACACUGGCUGAGACUUACACUGACGAGAACUCAUCCGAUUACUCUGAAAUGUCAGCACUGCAUGUUACGACAUCUUCACCAAUAUACAUUUUAGCACCAUUUAUUUUUGUUGAUCAUCUGUUUAGGGAACUUGUUACAUUAUUUCUCUCUCCACAGCUCCACCCAGUACUCUGGAGUCCACUUGCUCAGAUGUUUCAUUGCUCAUGUAACAGGGAAUCUCCCAUCCACCAGCUGAAUAAAUUUUGAAUUUGCCCAUACUGUACCGGCUGGG
Molecule: long non-coding RNA, 7297 nt
Filed under: Pelobates cultripes (western spadefoot toad)
Lineage: Eukaryota; Metazoa; Chordata; Amphibia; Anura; Pelobatidae
Source: RNAcentral